GAGCGGACAGAUGGGAGCUUGCUCCCUGAUGUUAGCGGCGGACGGGUGAGUAACACGUGGGUAACCUGCCUGUAAGACUGGGAUAACUCCGGGAAACCGGGGCUAAUACCGGAUGCUUGUUUGAACCGCAUGGUUCAAACAUAAAAGGUGGCUUCGGCUACCACUUACAGAUGGACCCGCGGCGCAUUAGCUAGUUGGUGAGGUAACGGCUCACCAAGGCAACGAUGCGUAGCCGACCUGAGAGGGUGAUCGGCCACACUGGGACUGAGACACGGCCCAGACUCCUACGGGAGGCAGCAGUAGGGAAUCUUCCGCAAUGGACGAAAGUCUGACGGAGCAACGCCGCGUGAGUGAUGAAGGUUUUCGGAUCGUAAAGCUCUGUUGUUAGGGAAGAACAAGUACCGUUCGAAUAGGGCGGUACCUUGACGGUACCUAACCAGAAAGCCACGGCUAACUACGUGCCAGCAGCCGCGGUAAUACGUAGGUGGCAAGCGUUGUCCGGAAUUAUUGGGCGUAAAGGGCUCGCAGGCGGUUCCUUAAGUCUGAUGUGAAAGCCCCCGGCUCAACCGGGGAGGGUCAUUGGAAACUGGGGAACUUGAGUGCAGAAGAGGAGAGUGGAAUUCCACGUGUAGCGGUGAAAUGCGUAGAGAUGUGGAGGAACACCAGUGGCGAAGGCGACUCUCUGGUCUGUAACUGACGCUGAGGAGCGAAAGCGUGGGGAGCGAACAGGAUUAGAUACCCUGGUAGUCCACGCCGUAAACGAUGAGUGCUAAGUGUU
RNAcentral lists this ribosomal RNA (778 nucleotides) under Bacillus mojavensis. RNAcentral's name for it is "bacterial SSU rRNA". It matches the Rfam family "Bacterial small subunit ribosomal RNA", at positions 64 to 824 of the family's 1533-position model. The record is from RNAcentral. Lineage: Bacteria; Bacillati; Bacillota; Bacilli; Caryophanales; Bacillaceae.